UGGCCCUUAAUGCAAGAUAGUAAAUAACUUGAACAUGCUGGCUUACAAUGCACAUGCUCAAGGGAAUAUGACUGCUUCCAAUGUGUGAAGCAGGUGUCCACGAACAUAUUUACAUUUGGAUGGAAGAGAUAUAAAGAGUUUAGACAUGACACGAUGAAGGAAGCUAAUAAACUAUACAGAGAUGAUGAAGGUGAAGAGAACAAGGCUUGCAGCAAUAUGUUCAGGAGGAACUGCAAAGAUGGUCAAGGACAACAAAAACCUAAAGCUGAACAUGAACAGAUUGGAGGAACUGAGAAAAUAGAAGGCAAUUCGAUGGGGAAAACUGCAGUACAGGCAGGUGACCUCUGUUAGAUUUCAAAGUCCCACUUUUUAAGCAGAAUUACUCAAAAAGUACACCUAAAGGAGAGAAAAUAGCCUGACCUCUCUCCAAACUGAUUUGACCCUAGAAGCCUGAAUACAACACUCUCCAUUACUUGCAUAAGGUACAGCCUUCAUUAACCAGGAAAGGUAGACUGGAUCACUCUAGGAAAAAGUAAAGGAUGGUGCUGGUCAGAGAAUCCUUCCCUAGAUAAGGAAGACAGUCAUUUUCCGUCCUUUCGCCUCCUCUCCAGCACUGGAAUUAAACAGAAGAAAACUGCACUCACCUCAUCCUUUCCCAAGAUGAAGGGAACAAAGGGAAAAACUACUACAGCUCCUACUGGAGCAGAAGUGAUUAUUUAUGUCUGAAACUGAAGCAGAGGUCAGAAGUUUAUGUGAUUGUGAAGUUGCAGUCAAGUGAGCGGUGGGGUUGAUUUGAGAGAGAAAAUGACUUCCCGAAUUUAGGAUUCAACAGCCAGAAUGGCUAGGUACACACAACCUUCCAGUUAAGUCGAUUAUUGAACUUCAGGAGCUUCAGAAAGAUAUUUUUAUACCUUUAAGAAUUCUACUAAUUUCAGUGGAAAUUUCAGUGCAGACUUGUAAUAUGAAGGUCAAUAAAAAUUACUUCACCAUUUCUAGUUUAUUUUUGUGGAUUACUUAGAAUUUGGGAAUAAUCCUUUUGAGUUUCUCUGUGUAAGUAUUAAUUUCAGGGAAAGUGGAUGAAUUUGAAAAACUGUGAUAUGAUUAUUUUUUCAUAUUUUAACUUUUUUUGUGUGUGUGUUUGUUUUGGUGAGUCUUAUAAGGCUUUCCAGAUUUCUUUUCUCUGUUAAUCUAUGAAUGUGAAAAAUAACAUCACU
Long non-coding RNA from Cygnus atratus (black swan), 1214 nucleotides. RefSeq lists it as uncharacterized. Lineage: Eukaryota; Metazoa; Chordata; Aves; Anseriformes; Anatidae. The transcript has 5 exons. The record is from RefSeq and is a predicted model, not a curated record.